This 693-nucleotide ribosomal RNA is filed under the name uncultured bacterium. RNAcentral describes it as "bacterial SSU rRNA". It matches the Rfam family "Bacterial small subunit ribosomal RNA", at positions 32 to 715 of the family's 1533-position model. The record is from RNAcentral.
AACGCUAGCUACAGGCUUAACACAUGCAAGUCGAGGGGCAGCGCAGGAAGAGCUUGCUCUUCUGGGCGACGACCGGCGAAUGGGUGAGUAUCGCGUAUCCAACCUGCCCUGUGCUCAUGGAUAGCCCUUGGAAAUGAGGAUUAAUACAUGAUAGUCUGGAAAUUCCGCAUGGUCUUUCCAGUAAAGUUAGACGGCACAGGAUGGGGAUGCGUUCCAUUAGGUUGUUGGCGGGGUAACGGCCCACCAAGCCUAUGAUGGAUAGGGGUUCUGAGAGGAAGGUCCCCCACAUUGGUACUGAGACACGGACCAAACUCCUACGGGAGGCAGCAGUGAGGAAUAUUGGUCAAUGGGCGAGAGCCUGAACCAGCCAAGUAGCGUGCAGGAUGACGGCCCUAUGGGUUGUAAACUGCUUUUAUAAGGGAAUAAAGUGAGCCUCGUGAGGCUUUUUGCAUGUACCUUAUGAAUAAGGACCGGCUAAUUCCGUGCCAGCAGCCGCGGUAAUACGGAAGGUCCGGGCGUUAUCCGGAUUUAUUGGGUUUAAAGGGAGCGUAGGCCGGAGAUUAAGCGUGUUGUGAAAUGUAGGCGCUCAACGUCUGCACUGCAGCGCGAACUGGUUUCCUUGAGUACGCACAAAGUGGGCGGAAUUCGUGGUGUAGCGGUGAAAUGCUUAGAUAUCACGAAGAACUCCGAUUG